GGAACCCGCUGCGGAGAGAAGAGCUAGCGCGCCUUUAGACCAGCCAGUGAGGACCUGGGUCAAGCCAAGAGGCGGGAGGGGGGCUCCCGUAAGCCUGGAGCCUACAUCCACAGGCCGAGCAGCUACUCCAGCCGCUGCACCUACUUGGUGACACCCUGCUGGGCUCUGGGGUCCUCACGAAGAGAGGCUGUGCCGGGACCAUGCGCCCAAGGUCCGAGGAUGUCCUCUGCGACCUGCGGCGGGCGUGUGGGUUCAGGCCCAAACGAGUCCCAGGAGUUUCUCAGCGCCUGGAAGUAGACGUGGUCUCUCUAGCCCCUGGCGUCAGUCUUUACCCUUCCUCUUCCUGGAGACCCGGGAGGCCGCGACGUGGAAAGAGAGGCGGGAAAGCCCGCACGGAGCUGCCCAAGUAGAGGGCGGUGGGGCUCA
This 426-nucleotide long non-coding RNA is filed under the name Mus musculus (house mouse). RNAcentral describes it as "RIKEN cDNA A930004D18 gene". Lineage: Eukaryota; Metazoa; Chordata; Mammalia; Rodentia; Muridae. The record is from RNAcentral.